Long non-coding RNA from Ipomoea triloba (trilobed morning glory), 590 nucleotides. RefSeq lists it as uncharacterized. NCBI's taxonomy places the organism in Eukaryota, Viridiplantae, Streptophyta, Magnoliopsida, Solanales, Convolvulaceae. The transcript has 2 exons. The record is from RefSeq and is a predicted model, not a curated record.
UUGGGGGCUGAUUCAUUUAGGAGUAUUUUUGAGAUUAAAAAUCGUGAUGAGAUUCGGAUUAUUGGUGGUUAAUUAAUUAUUUCAUUUCAAAGAUUGGGUUUUUCCUUUUAGAUUGCACAGUUGCCGAUUCUGUUUCAUACUGUAUUAGUCAACCACAAUCGUUCUUCGCACAUCGAUCUCUGCCUUCGUCGUCCACAGUGCACAAUGUCCGACGCCCGUAUUUUCCAGUGACGACACCGGAGUAUUGGUGCCACCGACUUGUUUGGAGGUUCCAAGGCUAAAAAAUCCUACUCUAUUGAAUUGGUGCAGGCUAACGCCAUGUCAAUGGGUGCCACUUCUGAUUGUGUUAUUUUCCCGGAGCAUGCUAAUACCACGUCAAUGGGUGCCACUUCUGAAUGUGUUGGAAGAUGCUUACAUUAUAUUAAAUUUGUCUCUUAAAGUAGAGAGUGAAGAGAUAAAUGAGCACAAAAUAUUACACUGUAAAGUUUAAGUAUGAAAAACAAAUGUCUUUAACAUUUUCGACAUUGAAGUCAACAUCAAGUAAUGGGAAUCUACUAUCAAGUAUUUAUGCUUGGUUUUAUUUCACGCCA